GUUAGUGGUAGCUCAGUGGUUAAGACAUUAGACUACUGAUUGAAAGGUCAUGAGUUCAAACUUCAGCACUGCCA
Non-coding RNA from Pangasius djambal, 74 nucleotides. The record is from the annotation of a GenBank genome assembly. Lineage: Eukaryota; Metazoa; Chordata; Actinopteri; Siluriformes; Pangasiidae.